RNAcentral lists this ribosomal RNA (4108 nucleotides) under Triticum aestivum (bread wheat). Its description in RNAcentral is "partial small subunit ribosomal RNA". The record is from RNAcentral. Lineage: Eukaryota; Viridiplantae; Streptophyta; Magnoliopsida; Poales; Poaceae.
UACGACCUCUUGACGAGAAGGAUGAGCUAUCUACGGUUUUCCCACCUCUUUUUUUUUCAUUUUUUUUUUUGCGGAGCUUUCACAUAGGUAGUGUUCCUGAAAAGUUGUUAAUUACGGAGCGUUAGAUUAGCUACCAUACACAUAAAACACCGUUAGAUUAGAUUAGACAGGGCAGGGGUUGGGAUUGGGGGUUGAGGUGAGGAAGUAGUCGUUCGUUUCGUUUCCGUACCGCGGCCGCCGGCCAGCGCCCGCUCCUGCUCCUGCCCGGGCCCCUGCGCCGGCGCCGGCGCCCGCUCCUGCGCGCCGGUUCUGGGGCGGAGGUCGGCGUCUUGGGCGCGGCCUCCUCCGGGGGCUGCGGCGGGUGGUGGUUCUCGUUCUCGUCCUCGUCCUGUUCCUGUUCCCCGUCCUUCUCGUCCUCGUCGAGUGGGUGUGGGUUCUACGGAGACGGAGACGAAAACGGCCCGCCCUCUGCUAACUCUAGAGGCUGAGCGGCCUGCGUAGGGGAGUCGUAGUUGUUGUUCCUCCGCGGAGGAGGAGCGGUGUGUAUAUAUGAUGAUCGAGUUGGGUAGUCUAGUUCCUCCUCGGUUCGAGUUAGUGUCGGCAGGUGGUGUUUGGGGUACUCGGGAGAGGGAGACGACGGUGGUUAUAACUGCUCGUCGUCCUCUUUUACCUCCACCUCCGACCUCUCGGAGUACUAUACAAGAACAGGCAUGUCCUUCUUCUUCGUCGUCGGGGAGGUGUUCUUCUUGUUCUCCGUCUGUUCGUUUGCGAUGUCUUGUUCCGUCGUGUCCACUAUCUCGGCCUCCCACCUUUUGGGCUACUACUACUACUACUACUACUACUACUACUACUACUACUACUACUAGAUCAGCAUUUCCCACUACAACGACGUUGACUACUACGUGUUUUAUUCGUUCUGUCAGUUCGAGUGGUUGAGGUGGUCCUCCUUGUUUACGAACGACGUUGAGUACUACUACGUCUUUUAUUCGUUCCGUGGGUUCGAGUGGGUGAGGUGGUCCCUCUUUACCUACGACUCGCCCUUCUCCUCCUCCUCCUCCUAGGGCUUCUCCAGUAAAAGCUCCUGAGACAGAGACACCCACUGCCCGUCCGGCGUUGACUCCUGUUUGUUCCUCUACUGGGACGACGAUCCCGGUGCCUCCUGCUGCUGCCCGUCCGACGUCGACUCUCGUUUGUCCUUCUCGUGGCACGAUCCCGCUACCUCCUCCUGCACGUCCGACGUCCACUCUAGUUUGUCGUUCUCCUGCUCGCGUUCCAAUACAGUCUGUACCGGUUCUUGUCCGUCGCGUUUUUCCUCGAUCUCUAGAAACACCCUCCCGACCUGGCACUUCGGCAGCUCCUCCUAUAGUCCUUCCACAAACGCGUCCAGCCACUACAACACCUCCAGGCAGAGGUGUUCCUAGGGAGGUGGUUGUUCUUGUUCCCCAAACGCAAGCAGUCCAAACGUUUGUUUGUCGUCCACCGAGCCCGCGAACGACUCCACUUCUUAGGAUACUAUGUACCGUUUGCAACACCACAACGACGAUCGCUCCUGUUGCUAUGUGAGAAGAACCCGUUAUAAACGUUAUGUACCUGUUUCCUUCGAUAAUUCUUCUCCGACGAACUGAUACCCCAUCUUCCUCAAGUUUCAAAUUGAGAACAAGGACUAUGAGUUUUGCUUCCGGUCUCGGCACCAAAACGUAAAGAGCUCAAGAGAACGGUGCGCCUACGCUACGAACGUAAGUUUUCCGACGUCGUUGGUCUACGAGAUAAACCAGUGGGACUCUCUUGACGUUUUCAACGGAAACGUCUCGGUUAUUUUCUUCGUCUACGUCUUCAAUACCGAGUCCAGUUUAGUCAAAAAUAACUACCUGAAGGUGGUAUGACCCUACUUCUUGCACAAUUUUUGGCUAAGUCUCGAAUACCACACUAUCUUGCUCAACACGAACGAGCGUUAUACAGAUCACGAUUUUCUUUGCUAAAACCUAAACAGUUGAAGAGUUGGGUACUCCUCCGAGAACGAACAUAACUUCGGUGGUUGUUGUGGCUCGACCCACUACUACCUUUUCGUUUCGAUUUUCAUUCCCAAUCUGAAAGUUUGGGAAAUGGAUUUUCAGUCCGACACUUUCCACUUUACUCACCGCCCAAAGCUUAACCUGUAGGACCUAGACCAAAAUUGUCCGGACCAUCUCCAAAAUUAUCCCUGUCUCGACGGGGAGCGGCCCUUCCAAAGGUACCACUAUCCCCAAAGUUAUUAGUGUGAGGACCAGCACCACGCUCUAAAUUAAGACGUAUGUCAUUGUUGUCAAAACUUCGAAGCGGGAGACUAAAGGCUCGGUCCGUCCGAGGAGGACGGAAAGCUCCCCCCUCUACCCUUGGAAGGAGUCCUUCCGUACUAAAGAAACUAUCUCCCGUCCCCUCUCCCAUAGUAGUAGGUGGAUCUCCCGGUUGUAAACUCGGACUCCCACUAAAACCAUCUGGGAAACCACUUUUGGGUAUAGAGAUACUUCUACAAGCCGUAUCACGAUUCUCCGGUAUAAGAGUGUACCUUGGGCCGGGAGGACCUAUGAAACUCGUACCAGGAGGAGCACACGCGGGAGCGAAACUGGUAAUGCUCGUCGGUGGUAAAGGACCUCCCUUGGCAAAACCAGUAAUACUGGUCGGUGGUAAAGGACCUCCACUGGCGGUGUCUCUGAGAAAACCCUGCUCCCCACCAAUAAGUGCACUAGUGAUACCGGGACCAAGACCAGGACCAGUACGGGGCGGGGGGCGGGUACGGGUACGGGGCGGGGGACGGGUACGGGUACGGGUACGGGGUCGAGUUAUACCAUCCCCACGUAAGGCUGGUGUGGUUUCUCCGCCCGUAAGACCUCCGCCAAUAAUGGUGGUGAUCCACCAUAGUGUCAUACAGAGAACAGUGGACCACACUGAAGCACAAUGACCAGGACAAACUAUAAACGUAGCACCCCGUGAUUGUACCCAAAUGUACGUCUGAAGUCCACCACGGCGCAAUGUGAUCACAAACACAAACCAUACUGAUCACUCUUUGUAAUACGGCGAAUAAUCGAUGAUCAUGAGUGUCCAGCCAACCAACAAUCAAUAGAACUCUACUAUUAAUGGCAACAACCCCUCGUUAUUAAUUAAAAGGAACAAUUUCCUGUACAAACCCCACUACUUACACAACACUCCUAUAACCACCUACUACAAUAUCUUGAUCUCCGUACUCACUGUACCUGGCUGGAGAGACAUAAACUAAUCUAUUGUGACACCUAAUACCUAAAAUCUGUCAAAUACACCGAAACGGACUCUAACAACUACAACCAGAACUCCAGUUUACCCCUAUACUCUGACAACAAACCAUUCUAUAAACUAAGAACAGAACCCCUAUAAACCACAUUUACAACACUAAUAUAUCACCUAGUACGUCAAAUGCCACAGUCUUAACAACCUCAACCAGUUCAUCUGAGAAAAGACCUCCAAGUAACCGAUAAAAUCGUCAACCAGAUUUAAACAACUCCACGAGAAACCCCCUGUACUACUGCCGUAAACUCGUACCUUGUCCUUCAAUGAAACCACAAUACUCUAACCAUCAACCUAAAACCCAAAUUCCUUCUAAGCUAAGCUACCUUGGCAAAUCCGAAAACACAAAGGGAAUACAAUAUAUGUUCAACAGACAGGACACCCAAAGAAAAUUGUGAACAUCGAGAAGGAAGAACAGAACCAUUAAACGAUUGCAUCAUCGAAAUUCGCUUUUAAUCACCUCGUGUGAUCUUCUUCAGACGACUCCGUCCAUUCUUUUCGUACGAGUAGAUCUCCAAACCAAACGACGCAAGAAUAAGAACCCCGCUACUUCCGUCCGUAAGAACCACAUACGUAUCGUAGUAGACUUCUUCCUAAGAACAGAAGAGUAGAACACAAAAGUACCUGUAAACUGGUGAGAACACAAAACUACAUGUAAGGGUCUACAAGAAAAACAAAAAAGUUAAGGUACGUGUCUUCAAAACUUACACUACUAUUAACAUUAAGAACCACGCUUAUUCAGUCCAUACUUUAAAAAAAGCAAAGUGUGGGCCCCGCCCUGCCCAAUAAGCAACAAUGACUACCAACCUUG